This 332-nucleotide ribosomal RNA is filed under the name uncultured Lysobacteraceae bacterium. RNAcentral describes it as "bacterial SSU rRNA". It matches the Rfam family "Bacterial small subunit ribosomal RNA", at positions 568 to 898 of the family's 1533-position model. The record is from RNAcentral. Lineage: Bacteria; Pseudomonadati; Pseudomonadota; Gammaproteobacteria; Lysobacterales; Lysobacteraceae.
UGCGUAGGUGGUCGUUUAAGUCCGUUGUGAAAUCCCUGGGCUCAACCUGGGAAUGGCAGUGGAUACUGGACGGCUAGAAUGCGGUAGAGGGUAGUGGAAUUCCCGGUGUAGCAGUGAAAUGCGUAGAGAUCGGGAGGAACACCAGUGGCGAAGGCGGCUACCUGGACCAGCAUUGACACUCAAGCACGAAAGCGUGGGGAGCAAACAGGAUUAGAUACCCUGGUAGUCCACGCCCUAAACGAUGCGAACUGGACGUUGGGAGCAACUUGGCUCUCAGUGUCGAAGCUAACGCGUUAAGUUCGCCGCCUGGGGAGUACGGUCGCAAGACUGAA